GACGAACGCUGGCGGCGUGCUUAACACAUGCAAGUCGAACGGAAAGGCCCUGCUUUUGUGGGGUGCUCGAGUGGCGAACGGGUGAGUAACACGUGAGUAACCUGCCCUUGACUUUGGGAUAACUUCAGGAAACUGGGGCUAAUACCGGAUAGGAGCUCCUGCUGCAUGGUGGGGGUUGGAAAGUUUCGGCGGUUGGGGAUGGACUCGCGGCUUAUCCGCUUGUUGGUGAGGUAGUGGCUUACCAAGGCUUUGACGGGUAGCCGGCCUGAGAGGGGGACCGGCCACAAUAGGACUGAGAGACGGCCCAGACGCCUACGGGAGGCAGCAGUGGGGAAUAUUGCACAAUGGGCGGAAGCCUGAUGCAGCAACGCCGCGUGCGGGAUGACGGCCUUCGGGGUGUAAACCGCUGUCGCCGGUGACGAAGCGUGAGUGACGGUAAUGGGUAAAGAAGCACCGGCUAACUACGUG
RNAcentral lists this ribosomal RNA (468 nucleotides) under uncultured bacterium. RNAcentral describes it as "partial 16S ribosomal RNA". It matches the Rfam family "Bacterial small subunit ribosomal RNA", at positions 28 to 507 of the family's 1533-position model. The record is from RNAcentral.